RNAcentral lists this ribosomal RNA (301 nucleotides) under uncultured bacterium. Its description in RNAcentral is "partial 16S ribosomal RNA". It matches the Rfam family "Bacterial small subunit ribosomal RNA", at positions 509 to 807 of the family's 1533-position model. The record is from RNAcentral.
CAGUAGCCGCGGGAAUACGAAGGGGGCUAGCGUUGCUCGGAAUGACUGGGCGUAAAGGGCGCGUAGGCGGUCACGAUAGUCAGAUGUGAAAUUCCUGGGCUUAACCUGGGGACUGCAUUUGAUACUGUGUGGCUUGAGUGUGGAAGAGGGUCGUGGAAUUCCCAGUGUAGAGGUGAAAUUCGUAGAUAUUGGGAAGAACACCGGUGGCGAAGGCGGCGACCUGGUCCAUAACUGACGCUGAGACGCGAAAGCCAGGGGAGCGAACGGGAUUAGAUACCCGCGUAGUCCCUGUCUCUUAUAC